UGAUGGCAGAUGAUCGCUGGUGACUCCGAAAGCUUUCGGGGUCGCUGGAGGAAAGUCCGAACACCAUACGGCGGCAUGCCGCGUAAAACACGCGGGCGCCGCGGUUGAAAAACUGCGGUGACGGAGAGUGUCACAGAAAAGAUACCGCCGGUUCUUUGGCAACAAAUUACAGGUAAGGGUGAAAAGGCGAGGUAAAAGCUCACCGCUCGCGAAGCAAUUCGCGAGGCACGAAAAACCCCAUGCGGUGCAAGACAAAACAGAGGAAGGGCAGCCGGCUCGAUUUAUCCUCGGGUAUCGUCGCAUCACGGCGAACGAAAAUUCGCCGGGCUCUUGGAGAAAUCCAAGAGAGAUAAAUGAUCAUCCUGGCUGAGAAAUCGGCCGGACAGAAUUCGGCUUAUCGCCAUCGAAAAUAU
Molecule: RNase P RNA, 413 nt
Filed under: Verrucomicrobiota bacterium
Lineage: Bacteria; Pseudomonadati; Verrucomicrobiota
Description: Verrucomicrobia bacterium RNase P RNA component class A
Rfam family: Bacterial RNase P class A
About the family: Ribonuclease P (RNase P) is a ubiquitous endoribonuclease, found in archaea, bacteria and eukarya as well as chloroplasts and mitochondria. Its best characterised activity is the generation of mature 5'-ends of tRNAs by cleaving the 5'-leader elements of precursor-tRNAs.
Source: RNAcentral